This 551-nucleotide ribosomal RNA is filed under the name uncultured bacterium. RNAcentral describes it as "bacterial SSU rRNA". It matches the Rfam family "Bacterial small subunit ribosomal RNA", at positions 355 to 896 of the family's 1533-position model. The record is from RNAcentral.
UGGGGAAUAUUGCGCAAUGGGCGAAAGCCUGACGCAGCGACGCCGCGUGGGUGAUGAAGGCCUUCGGGUCGUAAAACCCUGUCGGGUGGAACGAAUCUCCUCCCCUCUAAUACAGGGGAGGAUUGACGGUACCACCGAAGGAAGCCCCGGCUAACUACGUGCCAGCAGCCGCGGUAAUACGUAGGGGGCGAGCGUUGUUCGGAUUUACUGGGCGUAAAGAGCGCGUAGGUGGUUCGAUGAGUCGGAGGUGAAAUCCCUCGGCUUAACCGAGGACCCGCGUCCGAUACUGUCGAACUUGAGUGCAGGAGAGGAGAGCGGAAUUCCCAGUGUAGCGGUGAAAUGCGUAGAUAUUGGGAGGAACACCGGUGGCGAAGGCGGCUCUCUGGACUGUCACUGACACUGAGGCGCGAAAGCUAGGGUAGCAAACGGGAUUAGAUACCCCGGUAGUCCUAGCCGUAAACGAUGGGCACUAGGUGUGGGAGGUAUUGACCCCUUCCGUGCCGCAGCUAACGCAUUAAGUGCCCCGCCUGGGGAGUACGGCCGCAAGGUUG